AAAAAAAGAGUGAUGCAACAUCUUCUAUCUUCUUUUGACUGACAAUAAUAUUUAUUUUUUAAAAAUCAAUUUUUGAUUUUACUAAUCUCCCCCUAUAUGUAAGUGACAGUCAGAAGGACGAACGCAACAUGAAAUAAUUGUACCAAACGUUCCGUAAGUUGUACAUAAAUUUGAGCUUAUUUUUUUUUUUAUUUUCUACUUAACCACGUGUAUGCAUUUGAAUUUACUAUCCCUUUUUUCAUAGACAUGUAUUUGUUUUUACCUUUGUGGGCAACAACUGGUCUCCACAUUCAUUUUCACUUAAACCCCAAAUACUAUUCUUCCAACUUCUCUCUUAUUCCCUCACUAGGUCGUAUCUUUUCUCUCCGACAAUGAAUUCUUCCGUCUCUCUAAUUUUAUGUGGAUAAUUAAUAUAAAUCAACUUUUUGGUUAUGUUUUGAAGUUGAUGGAGGAUGCGAUGAGAGUACUUCGCUCCGUAUAAGGUUUGAAGUUUCUUUAAUUGGGUAUUUGUCAGGAGACUCAGAUUAUGAAAUGGCUAUUCAAAGUUACUGUGUGACUUCUAUGUAAUUUAGCACUACUGGACGAUAUUAGUAAGUAAUAUAUUGUUUAAUUGAACCGAGAAUUUUGGUUUAAUUGGUACUAAUCAUUUUAAUAAAUUAUUUUCGUCUUGUGUACCUUUUCCGCUCAUAUUUGGGGUUUGAGAGUAUAUUUAUUGCCCAACUCCAUUAGAUUUUUCUGUGAAUUUAUGAAAAGGUUAAUAUAUAUGUAACGUGCAAUUCGUCUUUCAUUUAGCACUUUUCUCUAUUGGGUUUUCAAAUUUAAAAAUUGAUGAUUGCCUGCAUUCUACUAUGUUAUUUUGGGAUUUGUUGGGAAGUAAAGCUAAAAAGGUUUGAGCCUCUUAUUUUGAUUUCUCUAAUUGAGAUCCUGAUGCAUAUAAAUACAAAUGGUCCAAUGGGAGCAAGAGUUCCAAGAACAUUUGGAAUCUUUGGACUAUUAAUUUGCAGGUUACUAAAAUAUAUCAACAAGUCUUAUUUUCUCUAUAUUUUUUUUGCACAAAUUUUCUUGAAUUUAGAGUCUGUAACUUAAAGAUAUUUGUGUUUAUCACUUUAAAUAAGUGCAUAUUUUGGUUAUAAUGACAUAAUGUUUUGUUCUGUUAAUUUCUUUCACAUACUUGAUCUACCUAAAAUAAACACUAUUUUGUGUCGCACAUAAGCUUUUGCUUUGAGUAGCAAGGUAUAUGUCUGUCAAACAGCAAUGUGCAAAGAUAGAGAUAUUUGUGAGAUACUCUAGAUGAUCUUUAUGUUUUGGUGACAAUGAGCUGAAAGGGUUCCCUAGGAAUAUGUUACGUUAAUAAGACUUUUGUUACUUUACUAUCAAGUACCAACAACUCUGGACGAAAAAGAAAAUGUCAAUUAACUUGGAGACUAUGUGCAAGAAAAAUAACUUGUUGACCGAACACAUGUAGAACUAUGAAUACCAAAUUAAGAAAUCACAAAAUUGAGGUGUGCAAAAAGAGAUAAAUGUGAUGCUGAAGAUGUAAACGACAAAAGACAAUCUUCUUUAAGUGGUAAAACCUUUAGUUUCAUGGACUCUUCACUUUUGAUGCCGCACCCGUAUCGGAUUCUUCAAAAUUACACUAUUUUUGACGAAUCCGACGCACCCCUUGGCAUUUCGAAGAGUCCGAGCAACAUAGGUAAACCCUAAGCAUAAGUGAAAGUGGAUGCUUUUGUUACUUUAUACUAUUUUUAUGAGAUUAUGAAAUCAAUAGUGCAAAUAUAUUACUAUACUACUAUUUAAUUGUACUGUGUGGAAGAUUGCAUAAAUUGAAGAAGAUUAUACAACAUCAAUUCUCAUGCUACAAGAUAGCUCGUCCAAUUGUCAUAUUGUCUAAAGACCAUGUUACAAAAUUGACUGAACAAACAACACCUAAUUUCAAUAGCAACUUCACAUCACUGCCAUGGGAAGAACUUAAUAGUAUGUGAUGUUUUUGUGCUACUGCCCAAGUGAUGAAGGUCUGAUGGCAUGGCUUUGUGCAAUAUCAAUAUGAUCACAUAGAUCAUUCAUAUUUUUGUCUCUUACGUCCUGAAGAAUUGCCUCUGAUGAAACCUCCCUGUAUGUUUCAAUGCAACAACAGUCUACAAUGUCUUCAACAGAGGACAAAGUUCAACAGGAGCUACAUGUUUGUUUAUAAUUUUCAUCAGGAUGCAAAACAUUUAAACUGGACAGACUGAGAAGUUCAUAGAAAGCUUUUAUUGCUGAAACUCCCUGCACAAAUUCAUACAGUAAUAGAAGCAAUUACAGUUCUCAAGGGAAUGGUGAAAUAUGCGUGCGCAAAGUUUUUAAAGCCUAAUUACAUAAUUCUAUGAAAGAUGAACCUGAAACAAAAACUUUUGCGGAUAAUACUGUUCAUAAAGAGGGGACAAAAUGAAUAAAUUAUUUCAAAAGGUGUUAACAUUUGUCUAUGCAAUGGAGCUCGUUUCUUUGUGUUACUCACAAUAUUAACAGAUUUUAUGUGAAAGCUUACCUUUAAUGCAAUAUUUCAUUAUUCUCAAUGAAACCAACAAUUGUUAAAUAUAACUAUGAUGAGUCAUUAAAUAGUAUAAAUUUGUUCAACCGCGUAAUUUUUUUCACAAUUAUUUUAGUGUUGGGCCCGUGCUUAGCACGGACUUUGACAAUCUAGUAUAUAAUAUAUAGAAGAGUCUAGGAAGCAGGUGUUCGUCAACAUGCUUACUUCCUAGACAAGGGUAAUUUGGUAAGUUACUAGCAAAUCUGUUUUAUACUUGUUGUCAAUGCUUAUACCAUUUGCUUUUGAAAUUGUGCGCUUCAUCAUUUCUUUCCCCUCUAAUUCUUAUUGUGUCCUUUUGUUGAUAAUACAGUAUAUUUCAAAACUUUAUUUACCCCUUCUUUUGUACCUUUUUACUAUAAAUUCAUUGGUACAUAUUAUAAAAUAUAUUGAAAUAUGAGACUUUUUUAAUGCCUUAAAGGCAUUAAAGUGCGAUGUUAGCACUUACUCGGACCCACAGGUUCCAUCAAUAAUAUUUAUAUUUUUUUGGUAGACAUAUUUAGCACUUAUUCAUUUCUAGUUAUUUUAGGCUUUCUUUGUUAUUGUGUUUGAGAUCAAGUAGAACAAAGUUAACUAAUAAAUUUAAUAUUUCAUUACUAAGGCUACAUUAUAUGAUUGUUCAUUAAUGAUAUUUAAAAAUAGUAUUAUAAAAUUAUCCACACUCAAAAUUCUAUUAAAGACAAAAAAGUUGGAUAGAAGAAAUAACAUAUACUAUUUAUAAAUCAUACAAAUUUCAUGUGCAUCACAUUAAUUCUUCACUUUUUCUUGUUAAUUUUGUCUUACAUUUCUUAAGUCAGUUAUAUAUUUGAAAAUUGCGUUAAUUGUAUUUUAAUUUACAAUAUUAAUAAGUUAAAAUAGUUCAAAGUAAAUAUUUUUUUUUUUUAAGUUUCAAAAUUCUAUGAGUGACACACAUAAAAUGGUUUAGAGGAAAUGACAUAUAUCAUUUGAUAAUGACUUAAAAAGUAUUAUAAAUUACAAAAACUAACAACUUGGAAAUCUAAAAGACUUAAACAAAAUUGAUUGACUCUCAAAAUUAUAUCUAUACAACAAUAAAUUGGGACAUGAGAAGUAACAAAAGUUCACUAGUAAGAUAUAUAAAAUGGAAAAACUACUUAAGUAGACAUACAUCCCUAUCUUUUAUACUAAAAUUACAUCUAAUUUCAAACAAUUACAUAUAUUACCACUUUUGAUAUUUUAUAUCAUAUAUUUUAAAAGAUACAGUUAGAUAGAUAAAACUCUUUUAACUAUGAUUGAUUAAUUAUCUUUAUAUUUAAAUACUAAAACUAAUGGUCCAAUUGCAAUUAAUAAUUUUUUGUCCCUGAUAUACAUUUCCUGUGUCAAUCCCCUAUUCCAAUAGUAUCUCUAUUCCCCCACAUACUUGUAACACCUCUAAAAUGAUUUAGGUGAAACUAGAGCCUUACACUUGAUUCAUGAGGUUCUAAAGUAAUAAAAUGACUUAUAAUGAUGUUUAUAGGCAGUGUGUAAAGUUUCAUAAAGUUUGGAGGUCAAACGUCCAAGACGAUCGAAAGGUCUGCCUUGAAACGUGCUUGUGUGCCUUAGUGUGUUUUGUUAAGUUUUACGUGUUCGUUUUGGAUGAAAUUGAUGUGUACGAAUAUAUUCGGGUUGAAAACGUCCGGACAAAACUCCCCAAGGACCAACCACAUGGUCCUUGAGGAGGACCCAACAUGUAGCCAAAACUGUCCAAAACCAGCCCAACCAACGAGGGGCAAUCAACGGAGAUACAUCAACUCACCGUCAUUUGAGGCGUAGGUUGAUACUUAGUUUUUGAUAUCAAUCUCCCAAGUGAGGAGCCUCUUAUCCUAUCGACAGAUUGCUAGAACGUCCCGUAGAUGGACCAACGAGGCGUCGAUUGUGGACCAUCGAUGACACAUGCUGAAAUUCUGCAGGUGUCUCGGCCAAGGCUAGGAGCAUUUGGGUAAUUCACCUAGCAUUCUUAAAAUAAGUUGGACGACUUCUUAAGGGUAGUUUGGAUAUUUCAAGUGGGUUUAUAAGUCUUAAACACUUCGAUGAAUUCAUUAUUUCAAAAUCAAAACUCAAAAUCCCUAAAGAACUCUCUAGAGCACCAUUGAAGCUUGAAAGGAACCUUAGAACUUGGAGGGUGAUUUCUCCAUCAAAUCUUCUCAAUUUUCUUGGUCUAGCAUCAAUUAAGGUAUGACUUUCAUCCUUGAAUCUCUUUUCUACAAGGAUUCAAGCUUCAAAUGUGGUUUUCAAAGACUUCUAAAAAAGAUGAAUUUCUAAAUUGUAAUCUAGCCAUGUAUUCUUGCAUAAAACAUUUUGAAUCAUUGUAUUAUGAUUGAAUUGAUGUAAAUUUGAUGAUUUUAGACUAAAAAAUCUAUGAAACCUUGCAAAUCAUGCAACCCUAGUUUUGACUAUUUCAUGGAUGAUUUGAUCAAUGUCUCUAUGUUAUUAAAUUCUUAUGUAGUUCGAUUAGGGCUAUUGAACUAUGAAAGAAUCAUGCUAGAAUUGUAAGUAGACAGUCCUAAAUUUAUGAAUUCAUAUUGUAUUAUCUUUCAUUCAUUGUAUAUUGUGACUAUUGAAUUGAAUUGGUGACUAUGCCUAUUGGUAAAAGCAUUUGUGUAUUAAGUUGGUUGAAUUGACUAUGGAUUGAAGUUGUGAGAUUGGAAUGGUGGUAGGCGUAAGGUGAGAGGCAUCUUGAAGCAAAGCUUCGAAACUAGGACUCAUUCAAGCAAAGUUGGGUUUGUCCUCACUUGAUUUGAGGACAAAAAUAUUUUUAGAUUGUUUUCGUUCAAAGUAUUGUAAUAGACAUUUGUUUUCUAUGUUUCGAUUGUAUGGGCCGUGUCCCAAGUAUUCUUGAGUUUAAGAUUGACAUAUGUUGAGACUUAUCAUCAUUUUAUAUGAAAAAUACUUUAAGA
Long non-coding RNA from Solanum lycopersicum (tomato), 5457 nucleotides. RefSeq lists it as uncharacterized. The record is from RefSeq and is a predicted model, not a curated record. NCBI's taxonomy places the organism in Eukaryota, Viridiplantae, Streptophyta, Magnoliopsida, Solanales, Solanaceae.